GACGAACGUUGGCGGCGUGCUUAACACAUGCAAGUCGAACGGAAAGGCCCUGCUUUUGUGGGGUGCUCGAGUGGCGAACGGGUGAGUAACACGUGAGUAACCUGCCCUUGACUUUGGGAUAACUUCAGGAAACUGGGGCUAAUACCGGAUAGGAGCUCCUGCUGCAUGGUGGGGGUUGGAAAGUUUCGGCGGUUGGGGAUGGACUCGCGGCUUAUCAGCUUGUUGGUGGGGUAGUGGCUUACCAAGGCUUUGACGGGUAGCCGACCUGAGAGGGUGACCGGCCACACUGGAACUGAGACAAGGUCAAGACGCCUACGGGAGGAAGCAGUAGGGAGUCUGCCGCAAGGGGGGAAAGCCGGACGGAGCAACGCCGCGUGAGGGAUGACGGUCGUCGGAUCGUAAAACUGGGUUAUUAGUGAAGAACAUAUGUGUACGUAACUGUGCACAGCGUGACGGUACAUAAUCAGAAAGCCACGGCUAACUACGUG
RNAcentral lists this ribosomal RNA (488 nucleotides) under uncultured bacterium. RNAcentral's name for it is "partial 16S ribosomal RNA". It matches the Rfam family "Bacterial small subunit ribosomal RNA", at positions 28 to 507 of the family's 1533-position model. The record is from RNAcentral.